Molecule: long non-coding RNA, 389 nt
Filed under: Homo sapiens (human)
Lineage: Eukaryota; Metazoa; Chordata; Mammalia; Primates; Hominidae
Description: HSALNT0161347
Source: RNAcentral
UGGGCUGUUUGUUCCUGGUAAAUGUCCCUGAUUCCGUCCUGAAGCUUUGGCCCAAUCAGGAGCCCGAGCUGUGCGCUUCUUAUCUCCUGAGGCUGCAGCAAGAUCAGGGAAGCAAACCUUUGCAAAUGAGACAUGUACCGUGUAAAAUGGAAAUGCUUUCCUUGGCAGUGAGUUAAGCAUUUUCACGAUAACAAUUUGGAAUCCUAGAAAAAUAACUGGAUUUUGAAAUGGAAAAUGAGCUCUGCACUUUGCUACUUUUGUGACCCCACAUCCUCAUCUCCAAAUGCGGAUGUUACACCAAGCAAGAAGGUUUUUUGGGAAAACAGUAACAUGAAGAACAUGGAUAAAGUUAAUCUACAACCUGAGACCAUUACAGCCAGGAAAUGGAG